UGGUGGAGUGAUUUGUCUGGUUAAUUCCGAUAACGAACGAGACCUUAACCUGCUAAAUAGCCAGGCCGGCUUUUGCUGGUCUCCGGCUUCUUAGAGGGACUGUCAGCGUCUAGCUGACGGAAGUUUGAGGCAAUAACA
Molecule: ribosomal RNA, 138 nt
Filed under: uncultured eukaryote
Lineage: Eukaryota
Description: partial 18S ribosomal RNA
Rfam family: Eukaryotic small subunit ribosomal RNA
Source: RNAcentral